Molecule: long non-coding RNA, 1615 nt
Filed under: Homo sapiens (human)
Lineage: Eukaryota; Metazoa; Chordata; Mammalia; Primates; Hominidae
Description: HSALNT0297205
Source: RNAcentral
AUCAUGGUCAGUGAAAGCAUCAUUGAGAAGCUAAGAUUUUAGUAAAAUCUGAAAGAAGUAAGAGAGCAAGUUAUUCAGGUAUUCAAGGAAUAUUCCUCCAGGUGGAGGUCACAAUUUGGGGGCGGGGAAAAAUGGUGCCCAGCACAGUAAAGGAAGAUUUGUGAGUGAAGUAAAACACACAAAAAGAAAAUACGGUUAGAGGAAUUACAGGUCAGAUUACUUAUAGCCUGUAGGACUUUGGCUUUGCUCUAAGUUAAAUAGAAAGUCAAUAGAGGAUUUUGAGCAAAGGAACGAAUAAUCAACACUUUUUUUUAAAGAAUCACUCUGGUAGCUGUGUUUAGGAUAGACUAAAAGUGUGAGAUGGAAUGGAAAACUUAAAAAGGAUGAUUAGCUAAGAGGUCAUUGCUAUAAUCCAAACAAAGGAUAAUCAGUCUUACUUAGAGAAGGUUAGUACCAGAGGAAAUGGCAAGAAAUAUAUUUCAAUGAUUAAAAUUAACAGGAUGUACCACAGACUAGAUGUGAGAGGCAUAAAGAUUGACUGUAAAGAUUGUAGCCUGAGCACCCGGAAAGAAAGGAAUUCCUAUAAAUACACAGAGAGUAGAAAGAAUUUACCAAAGGCCAGUUAAGAGUGAUGGAAAAUACAGACAUCCUAAUUUUGAGAGGCCAAUUAAACAUUCAGGUAAAGAGGGGCAACUAUAUCCUGAAUUAAAGGUAGGGAUUCAGAUAAAUAUUUAAAUUUAGGGAAUUUUCAGCAUACAAAUGGUACCAAAACCAUAAGAAUGAAAGAUCACUCAUUCAUUAAGAAUGAGAAAAGAGGAGGGAUUUGAGGUCUGAGCCUUGGGCAUUCCAAAGUUAAGAAGUGAGGUUACGAAGAAGAACCAGGAAUGGAAAAUGAAAAGGAAAAGCCAGUGAAGUCAAAGACAAACUUCUGUACAAGGGCUGAAGACAGGACAAGAUGUGCUGAUGUAUAAAAAGUCUAAAUCUGCAGCAUAAUCGUGAAGAGAUGAGGAAAGCCACGUACUCAGAGCCUCACUUAAAGGAAAUGAAACAGUAAAACUGAAUCAGAUUUGGCUCUUCACUUCUGCCUUCAGUGCUGUCCAGACUCAGACAUUAUAUCAGUAGGUUUCAGUUUUACUAACCAAUAAGUUCUUUGUGUACUUAAAGUUGGUUGUUUUUUAAUGGGGAUGUGGAAUGGAGGGGUAAAUAUUUUGUGUUUUUUAAUGAGGAAUCCCAAACACUAGAGUUUUUUCUUUAUAUUGCAAAGGCACUGAUGCCCCUUCUCACAAAAUAUUUCAUGCUUCAGUAUUGGCCUAAAGUUGACUAUCUUUAUAUAAAUUAAAAUCUUCUCAUGUUUUAGUGGUGUUUUAGAAGAUCUUGACAUGUUACUUUUUGAAUUAAAGUGAAACGCAUAGCAUAUGGACUCAACAAAACCAUUCUCUGUGAAUAAAAUGUGUCACAUUCUAUAAUAAAACUAUAUAUAGCAUGUUAUUCCAUAUUCUGUAUGAUUAAUUUUAGAGAUUAUAUCUUGAAUUCUGCUAUCAAUCUACAAUGUUUAUUCAUUCAUUCAACAAAUAUUUGUUAAGAACUACUAUGUGUCAAGUACCUAGUUUGCAAC